RNAcentral lists this transfer RNA (72 nucleotides) under Ovis aries (sheep). It matches the Rfam family "tRNA". From Rfam's summary of the family: Transfer RNA (tRNA) molecules are approximately 80 nucleotides in length. The record is from Rfam by way of RNAcentral. Lineage: Eukaryota; Metazoa; Chordata; Mammalia; Artiodactyla; Bovidae.
UCCCUGGUGGCUCAGACAGUAAAGCGUCCGCCUACAGUGCGGGAGACCCUGGUUCAAUCCCUGGGUCGGGAA